AGUACAGCUGUCCUUUGGAAAGGCUGCUUAGUAUUUUCUGGUGUUUUAAAGCCUGAGGGAGGUUGCACACCUGCGAUUCUUUCUCAGGGACCUGGUACAGCCUGUUCAAGCAAACAUCUCCAUGGGACAUUAUCUCAGACAUCCUUUACAUUUGGAAAUGGACAAGGGAGAGAUGGAGCAAUGCCAAAGUCCCACAGAAGAGAAACCCAUCUCCAAGGGAUCAGUCCCAGCUUGAAACAAGUCACACUGUAUCAGCUGCUCUACUACAGUGGACUUCCAUGUCGGGUCCCUGGGAGAGGAAGACCCAGGCUAUGGAUUUUGUGACUUCCAGGGGGCCCAGGAGAGACUCAUGCUGCCAAGUCACAGCCCAAUCUUUUGCUACUGAGUGUCCAUCACCGAGGGUAAUUUCAGUCCAAAGGCUGGGACAUGGACCAAGACAGCAUUUGAUUCUACUACUGCAAAUGGUAAGAUAGAGAGUUCAAAUUCCAAAACUAAUAUCCCCAUUUACACUGUAUUUAUUGAGAU
Molecule: long non-coding RNA, 525 nt
Filed under: Bos indicus x Bos taurus (hybrid cattle)
Lineage: Eukaryota; Metazoa; Chordata; Mammalia; Artiodactyla; Bovidae
Description: lncRNA (ENSBIXG00000015081.1)
Source: RNAcentral